CCCUAACCGUGCAAAGGUAGCAUAAUCAUUUGCCUUUUAAUUGGAGGCUUGUAUGAAUGGUUUGACGAGGGCUAAGCUGUCUCUUUUAAAAUAUUUAGAAAUUAACUUUUAGGUGAAGAGGCCUAAAUUUGGCUGAGGGACAAGAAGACCCUGUUGAGCUUUAGUUUUAUGCUAAAUGGAUUAUUAUGAUAUUUGUAAUAAGCGUGGACCUAGGUGUAAUGGGAUUUUAGUAUGAAUCUUUAGUUGGGGCGACUGAGGAACAGCUAGAGCUUCCUUUAGUUUAGAAGGGCAAGUAGUGUGCCGGAAAAUGGUGUAUUCUUGCAGGUUGUUUUGAUCCAGUAGAAUACUGAUUAAAGGAAAAAGUUACCACAGGGAUAACAGCGUAAUCUUUCUGGAGAGAUCUUAUCGAAAGAAGGGUUUGCGACCUCGAUGUUGGACUAA
RNAcentral lists this ribosomal RNA (441 nucleotides) under Monodonta confusa. Its description in RNAcentral is "partial 16S rRNA". It matches the Rfam family "Bacterial large subunit ribosomal RNA", at positions 1940 to 2540 of the family's 2925-position model. Lineage: Eukaryota; Metazoa; Mollusca; Gastropoda; Trochida; Trochidae. The record is from RNAcentral.